RNAcentral lists this ribosomal RNA (453 nucleotides) under uncultured bacterium. RNAcentral describes it as "bacterial SSU rRNA". It matches the Rfam family "Bacterial small subunit ribosomal RNA", at positions 340 to 785 of the family's 1533-position model. The record is from RNAcentral.
UACGGGAGGCAGCAGUGGGGAAUAUUGCACAAUGGGCGCAAGCCUGAUGCAGCCAUGCCGCGUGUAUGAAGAAGGCCUUCGGGUUGUAAAGUACUUUCAGUCGUGAGGAAGGUGUUAAGGUUAAUAACCUUAGCAAUUGACGUUAGCGACAGAAGAAGCACCGGCUAACUCCGUGCCGGCAGCCGCGGUAAUACGGAGGGUGCGAGCGUUAAUCGGAAUUACUGGGCGUAAAGGGCACGCAGGCGGUUAAUUAAGUUGGAUGUGAAAUCCCCGGGCUUAACCUGGGAAUGGCAUUCAAGACUGGUUAGCUAGAGUCUUGUAGAGGGGGUAGAAUUCCAUGUGUAGCGGUGAAAUGCGUAGAGAUGUGGAGGAAUACCGGUGGCGAAGGCGGCCCCUGGACAAAGACUGACGCUCAUGUGCGAAAGCGUGGGGAGCAAACGAGGGAUUAGAUAC